RNAcentral lists this small RNA (822 nucleotides) under Pongo abelii (Sumatran orangutan). RNAcentral's name for it is "retained intron". The record is from RNAcentral. Lineage: Eukaryota; Metazoa; Chordata; Mammalia; Primates; Hominidae.
GGGAGCGUCCCCGGAAGGAGGCAGCCAGCCAAGGGCCCCUGAAGCAGGUCCUCUUCCCUCCCAGUGUUGUCCUUCUGGAGGCUGCUGCCCGAAAUGACCUGGAAGAAGUCCGCCAGUUCCUUGGGAGUGGGGUCAGCCCUGACUUGGCCAAUGAGGACGGCCUGACGGCCCUGCACCAGGUCAGCCCGCACUGGGUGUGGGCGGGGUGGGGGCUGGCCCCCGUGCUCUGGCCGCUCACGUGGCACGGUUUGCAGUGCUGCAUCGAUGAUUUCCGAGAGAUGGUGCAGCAGCUCCUGGAGGCUGGGGCCAACAUCAAUGCCUGUGACAGUGAGUGCUGGACGCCUCUGCAUGCUGCGGCCACCUGCGGCCACCUGCACCUGGUGGAGCUGCUCAUCGCCAGUGGCGCCAAUCUCCUGGCGGUCAACACCGACGGGAACAUGCCCUAUGACCUGUGUGAUGAUGACCAGACGCUGGACUGCCUGGAGACUGCCAUGGCCGACCGUGGUAGGUGCGGCGGUGCGGCUGUGGGAGGGCUGCCGGUCGCGCUCCCUCUGAGCCUGCCGCCUCGCAGGCAUCACCCAGGACAGCAUCGAGGCCGCCCGGGCCGUGCCAGAACUGCGCAUGCUGGAUGACAUCCGGAGCCGGCUGCAGGCCGGGGCAGACCUCCAUGCCCCCCUGGACCACGGGGCCACGCUGCUGCACAUCGCAGCCGCCAACGGGUUCAGCGACGCGGCCGCCCUGCUGCUGGAACACAGAGCCAGCCUGAGCGCUAAGGACCAAGACGGCUGGGAGCCGCUGCACGCCGCGGCCUACUGGGGCCAG